GGUUGCGAUCAUACCAGCACUAAUGCACCGGAUCCCAUCAGAACUCCGCAGUUAAGCGUGUUUGGGCGUGAGUAGUACUAGGAUGGGUGACCCCCUGGGAAGUCCUCGUGUUGCAACCC
RNAcentral lists this ribosomal RNA (119 nucleotides) under Helianthus annuus (common sunflower). Lineage: Eukaryota; Viridiplantae; Streptophyta; Magnoliopsida; Asterales; Asteraceae. The record is from RNAcentral.